This 1372-nucleotide ribosomal RNA is filed under the name uncultured bacterium. RNAcentral's name for it is "bacterial SSU rRNA". It matches the Rfam family "Bacterial small subunit ribosomal RNA", at positions 28 to 1381 of the family's 1533-position model. The record is from RNAcentral.
GAUGAACGUUGGCGGCGUGCCUAAUACAUGCAAGUCGAGCGAACGGACGAGAAGCUUGCUUCUCUGAUGUUAGCGGCGGACGGGUGAGUAACACGUGGAUAACCUACCUAUAAGACUGGGAUAACUUCGGGAAACCGGAGCUAAUACCGGAUAAUAUUUUGAACCGCAUGGUUCAAAAGUGAAAGACGGUCUUGCUGUCACUUAUAGAUGGAUCCGCGCUGCAUUAGCUAGUUGGUAAGGUAACGGCUUACCAAGGCAACGAUGCAUAGCCGACCUGAGAGGGUGAUCGGCCACACUGGAACCGAGACACGGUCCAGACUCCUACGGGAGGCAGCAGUAGGGAAUCUUCCGCAAUGGGCGAAAGCCUGACGGAGCAACGCCGCGUGAGUGAUGAAGGUCUUCGGAUCGUAAAACUCUGUUAUUAGGGAAGAACAUAUGUGUAAGUAACUGUGCACAUCUUGACGGUACCUAAUCAGAAAGCCACGGCUAACUACGUGCCAGCAGCCGCGGUAAUACGUAGGUGGCAAGCGUUAUCCGGAAUUAUUGGGCGUAAAGCGCGCGUAGGCGGUUUCUUAAGUCUGAUGUGAAAGCCCACGGCUCAACCGUGGAGGGUCAUUGGAAACUGGAAAACUUGAGUGCAGAAGAGGAAAGUGGAAUUCCAUGUGUAGCGGUGAAAUGCGCAGAGAUAUGGAGGAACACCAGUGGCGAAGGCGACUUUCUGGUCUGUAACUGACGCUGAUGUGCGAAAGCGUGGGGAUCAAACAGGAUUAGAUACCCUGGUAGUCCACGCCGUAAACGAUGAGUGCUAAGUGUUAGGGGGUUUCCGCCCCUUAGUGCCGCAGCUAACGCAUUAAGCACUCCGCCUGGGGGGUACGACCGCAAGGUUGAAACUCAAAGGAAUUGACGGGGACCCGCACAAGCGGUGGAGCAUGUGGUUUAAUUCGAAGCAACGCGAAGAACCUUACCAAAUCUUGACAUCCUUUGACAACUCUAGAGAUAGAGCCUUCCCCUUCGGGGGACAAAGUGACAGGUGGUGCAUGGUUGUCGUCAGCUCGUGUCGUGAGAUGUUGGGUUAAGUCCCGCAACGAGCGCAACCCUUAAGCUUAGUUGCCAUCAUUAAGUUGGGCACUCUAAGUUGACUGCCGGUGACAAACCGGAGGAAGGUGGGGAUGACGUCAAAUCAUCAUGCCCCUUAUGAUUUGGGCUACACACGUGCUACAAUGGACAAUACAAAGGGCAGCGAAACCGCGAGGUCAAGCAAAUCCCAUAAAGUUGUUCUCAGUUCGGAUUGCAGUCUGCAACUCGACUACAUGAAGCUGGAAUCGCUAGUAAUCGUAGAUCAGCAUGCUACGGUGAAUACGUUCCCGGGUCU